Long non-coding RNA from Oreochromis aureus, 240 nucleotides. RefSeq lists it as uncharacterized. The record is from RefSeq and is a predicted model, not a curated record. The transcript is spliced from 2 exons. Lineage: Eukaryota; Metazoa; Chordata; Actinopteri; Cichliformes; Cichlidae.
GAGAGACUGCCUUAUUUACAGACCUCAUCCACAAGAAACCACACAGUUGAAAGGAUUUGGCCUGAAAUCAACAACCGUGUCAACUACCCACUAAAACUGCCCUACUCCAGCUGAUGGACCAGGAGGAGAUAGAUAUGGAGGAUAACCUUGUGCGAUACUGUGUGUCCAAUCUAACCUGUCAGCUGUGUAACAUUGGUCUUGCAAGUGUGGUAGAAUCAUGGAAUGCUCAUAGAAUCCCAG